CACGUAGGGGCCGAGCGUUGUCCGGAAUCACUGGGCGUGAAGCGCGCGCAGGCGGCCCGAUGCGCCCGGCGUGAAAGCCCCCGGCUCAACCGGGGAGCGUCGUUGGGGACGGUCGGGCUCGAGGGCGGGAGGGGCCGGUGGAAUCCCCGGUGUAGUGGUGAAAUGCGUAGAGAUCGGGGGGAACACCCGUGGCGAAGGCGGCCGGCUGGCCCGACCCUGACGCUGAGGCGCGAAGGCGUGGGGAGCGAACGGG
This 253-nucleotide ribosomal RNA is filed under the name uncultured Thermomicrobium sp. Its description in RNAcentral is "partial 16S ribosomal RNA". It matches the Rfam family "Bacterial small subunit ribosomal RNA", at positions 524 to 776 of the family's 1533-position model. Lineage: Bacteria; Pseudomonadati; Thermomicrobiota; Thermomicrobia; Thermomicrobiales; Thermomicrobiaceae. The record is from RNAcentral.